GGUGGCUAAAGUUGUGCCUGAGAACUCAGUUAACUUCCUUUGGCUUUUCCUUUGCCCUUAACACAUUUGGGGUUAGUUCUCCAGAGAAUACUAAUGACAAAUAUCCAGGACUUGACCUUUGAAGAUCUUCGGCAUCCAACUCCUUAAUAUACUAUCAUAACAACUGAUCAUUGCCGGCUCAUCCUACCCCCUUGUUCUUGAAGAAUGUGUUUGGUUAAUGACUUAUUUCAUGGCCAUGGAGGUGACAUCACGUGGAAAACCAGCUAUGAUGCCAGAGUUAACUACUUGGUGGAGAGCAUUUGAGGUGUAGAUGGACACAACACAAUGCCUUUAUUUUAUGAAGUGCUGAGGAUCGAACCCGGGUCCCGCCUGUGCUAGGCAAGCCCUUACCGCUGAGCAACAAUCCCAACUGUACAGUCCUUUUUAUUUUUUAUUUUGAAACAAGGUCUUUUUCUUAAACAUGCUUUUAUAUAUAUAUUUAUUUUUUAAUUAUAGGUGGGUGCAAUAUCUUUAUUUUUAUGUGGUGCUGAGGAUUGAACCCAGUGCCUCACACAUGCUAGGCGAGCAUUCUACCUCUGAGCCACAACCCCAGCCCUUGAAACAGGGUCUUGAUAAGUUGCUGAGGGUCUUACUAAGUUGCCCAGACUGGCCUUGAUUGCAGUCCUCCUGCCUCAGCCUCCCCAUUUGCUGCAAUUACAGGUGUACGCCACCACACCAAGCUCAGGGGAUUUUUUCCCCCCAGUGCUGGAAAUUGUACCCAGGGCCUCAGACAUACUAGACAAGUGUACUACCACUGACCCACAUCUCCAGCCCCAAGGGGAUUUUUAAGUAAUUAUACACUGUCUCCUAGAGUCAGUACAUUACUACAAAGAUAUUUAUAAAGAUAAGGAACUAUACAGUCUUACUCAUCUUAAAACCUUUGUACUUUCAUAACUGAAAUACAUGAUAAAUUGUGACCCCUACCACCACCAGACAACCAGGCAUGAUGGGACACGCCUGUAAUCCCAAAGAUUCAGGAAACUGAGGAAGGAGGAUGGGAAAUUUGAAAUCAGUCUGGGCAAUUUAGUAAAUCCUUGUUUCAAAAUAAAAGAAAAAGGACUGAUUAUGUAGCUCAGUGGUAGAGUGUUUGCCUACAUGUCAAUCCCUAGUACUGGGAAAAAAAAAAAAAAAAGAUGCUCUACCACUGAGCCAUAUCCCCAGCCCCUAAAAUGGGCUUCUUGUGAGGAAUAGUCUGGGAAAAUGGCAGAAAAGAGAAUAUAAUACUUUCCUACUACAGUUUAUUAAAAUCUGCAUGCAUUCAAACUUGGAGCUAGUUUUCAGCUAAUUUUUAAAAGUACUGUUUAACACAGUCAUUGGAGACUACAUAACAGAAAGAACACUGACCUAGGGUUAAGAUUAUCCCUGGUGGCGGGCUGGGUUGUGGCUGAGUAGUAGAGUGCUCACGCCCUGGGUUCAAUCCUUAGCACCACAUAAACAUAAAUAAAUAAAAUAAAGUAUUAUGUUCAACUACAACUAAAAAAUAAAUAUUAAAAAAAAAAAAAAGAUUAUCCCUGGGGUCUCAGCUCCUGACUAGAAGGACACCUCUCUGAGCUUAGUUUCUUCAUCUAUAAAAUAGAUGAAAUCUGUUUCAUAUAAUCAUAAAGGUUGAGUGAGAAUGUGUAUGUGCUUGUUAUAUUAGUAUUCAAUGUAUAUUAGUUUUCUUUCCCUUAUUAUUCAUCCCUGUCUUAUACAUGUAUAUCCAUUUUUUUUUUUUCUUGCAGCACUGGGAAUGGAACUAGAGCUUUGUGCAUGCUAGGCAAGCACUCUACCAUCGAAUCACAUCUCCAGUAUCUUUCUCCUAUAGUCCAUCCUAUAUUUAAGGGAAUCUUAAAUAUGGCACAUGCCCAUAAUCCCAAUGACUCAGGAAAUGUGUGUGUGUGUGUGUGUGUGUUUUGGGGGAUUCUGGGGGCUUGAAACCAGGACCUUGCAUAUGCUAAGUAAGUGUUCCACCACUGAGUUACAUCCCCAGCCCUUUUAAGUUUUGUUUUGAGAUAGGGUUUGCUAAGUUUUCCAUGCUGUUCUUUUCUUUUUUUUUUUUAAUUUUAAUAUUUAGUUUUUAGUUUUCAGCGGACACAACAUCUUUUGUUAUGUAUGUGGUGCUGAGGAUCGAACCCGGGCCGCACGCAUGCCAGGCGAGCUCACUGCCGCUUGAGCCACAUCCCCAGCCCCUCCAUGCUGUUCUUUAACUCCUGCCUCAGCCUUCCAGGUAGCUAGGAUUAUAGGAGUGUGCCACCUAUCUGGCUUAAAUCUAUUUUUAUCCCCUUUUUUUGCAGUGCUGGCAUCAAAUCCAUGGCCUCACAGAUACUAAGCAAGUGCUUUACCAUUGCGCCACAACCACCCACCCCUGCGAAUGAAUCCUUUCUAACUGCAAAAUAACCUCUAUAAGAGCCUGUGUGUUGGCAGACCCCUAUAAUCCCAGCAGCUUGGAAGGCAGAGACAGGAGGCUCAUGACUUCAAAGCCAGCCUCAACAAAAAGCAAGGCACUAAGUAACUCAUUAAGACCCUGUCUCUGGGGUCUGGGGAUGUGGCUCAAGCGGUAGCUCGCCUGGCAUGCACGGGGCGCUGGGUUCCAUCCUCAGCACCACAUAAAAAUAAAAUAAAGAUGUUGUGUCCACCGAAAACUAAAAAAUAAAUAUUAAAAAAUUCUCUCUCUCUCUCUCUCAAAGACCCUGUCUCUGAAUGAAAAUACAAAAUAGAAAUGGGGAUGUGGCUCAGUGGUCAAGUGCCCCUAAGUUCAAUCUCCAUACCCCCUGCCAAAAAAACAAAAAACUUUAAAAGAGGAUUUUUUGUUUUUGGGACAGUUUCAUUAUGCUGCUUAGGCUGGUCUCCAACUUGUAGUUUAAGUGAUCUUCCUGCCUCAGUCUCUGGAGUAACUGGAACUACAGUCAUGCAACACUGCAUCUGGCUAAAGGGCCAGAUUUUCACUUAGUAAACUUCUGGUUAUAUUUGGACCUUA
This is a long non-coding RNA of Marmota monax (woodchuck), 2995 nucleotides long. RefSeq lists it as uncharacterized. The transcript is spliced from 2 exons. The record is from RefSeq and is a predicted model, not a curated record. Lineage: Eukaryota; Metazoa; Chordata; Mammalia; Rodentia; Sciuridae.